This 87-nucleotide transfer RNA is filed under the name Methanobrevibacter gottschalkii. Its description in RNAcentral is "tRNA_Leu_TAG". It matches the Rfam family "tRNA". From Rfam's summary of the family: Transfer RNA (tRNA) molecules are approximately 80 nucleotides in length. Lineage: Archaea; Methanobacteriati; Methanobacteriota; Methanobacteria; Methanobacteriales; Methanobacteriaceae. RNAcentral also lists the same sequence under 1 other name. The record is from RNAcentral.
AGUAGAGUAUCCAAGUUUUGGUCAAAGGAGAUAGGUUUAGGACCUAUUGAAUUAGUUUCUUCAUGGGUUCAAAUCCCAUCUCUACUA